UCAGCCGGCCGGACGGCCGCUUCGCCAGUGGCGGAGAGGAAAGUCCGGGCUCCAUGGACAUGCGGUGCCGGAUAACGUCCGGCGGGGGUAACCCCAGGGAAAGUGCCACAGAAAACAAACCGCCGCGACCUCUGUUUGGCGCUCCGCGGAGGGCCUGCAGGAUGCGCGGCAAGGGUGAAACGGUGCGGUAAGAGCGCACCGCGCCAGCGGCAACGCCGGCGGCACGGCAAACCCCACCGGGAGCAAAACCGUAUAGGGACGGCGUGGAGCUUGCCUCCAGGAUCGAUGUCCGGAUCCGGCCGUCCGGGUAGGUUGCUCGAAGCGCCGGGCGACCGGCGCUCCAGAGGAAUGGCCGUCACGUGCCAGUUUCGCGACUGGCGCCACACAGAACCCGGCUUACAGGCCGGCUGAGAUG
This 415-nucleotide RNase P RNA is filed under the name Bradyrhizobiaceae bacterium. Its description in RNAcentral is "RNase P RNA component class A". It matches the Rfam family "Bacterial RNase P class A". From Rfam's summary of the family: Ribonuclease P (RNase P) is a ubiquitous endoribonuclease, found in archaea, bacteria and eukarya as well as chloroplasts and mitochondria. Its best characterised activity is the generation of mature 5'-ends of tRNAs by cleaving the 5'-leader elements of precursor-tRNAs. The record is from RNAcentral. Lineage: Bacteria; Pseudomonadati; Pseudomonadota; Alphaproteobacteria; Hyphomicrobiales; Nitrobacteraceae.